RNAcentral lists this ribosomal RNA (493 nucleotides) under uncultured bacterium. RNAcentral describes it as "partial 16S ribosomal RNA". It matches the Rfam family "Bacterial small subunit ribosomal RNA", at positions 29 to 523 of the family's 1533-position model. The record is from RNAcentral.
AUUGAACGCUGGCGGCAUGCUCUACACAUGCAAGUCGAACGGUAACAGGUUAAGCUGACGAGUGGCGAACGGGUGAGUAAUGCAUCGGAACGUGCCCGGUCGUGGGGGAUAACACUUCGAAAGAAGUGCUAAUACCGCAUACGAUCUGAGGAUGAAAGCGGGGGACCGUAAGGCCUCGCGCGAUCGGAGCGGCCGAUGUCAGAUUAGGUAGUUGGUGGGGUAAAGGCCCACCAAGCCGACGAUCUGUAGCUGGUCUGAGAGGACGACCAGCCACACUGGGACUGAGACACGGCCCAGACUCCUACGGGAGGCAGCAGUGGGGAAUUUUGGACAAGGGGCGCAAGCCUGAUCCAGCAAUGCCGCGUGCAGGAAGAAGGCCUUCGGGUUGUAAACUGCUUUUGUACGGAGCGAAAAGGCUCUCUCUAAUACAGGGGGCUCAUGACGGUACCGUAAGAAUAAGCACCGGCUAACUACGUGCCAGCCGCCGCCGUAA